GUAGGUGGCAAGCGUUGUCCGGAAUUAUUGGGCGUAAAGCGCGCGCAGGCGGUCCUUUAAGUCUGAUGUGAAAGCCCACGGCUCAACCGUGGAGGGUCAUUGGAAACUGGGGGACUUGAGUACAGAAGAGGAAAGCGGAAUUCCAAGUGUAGCGGUGAAAUGCGUAGAGAUUUGGGGGAACACCAGUGGCGAAGGCGGCUUUCUGGUCUGUAACUGACGCUGAGGCGCGAAAGCGUGGGGAGCAAACAGGAUUAGAUACCCUGGUAGUCCACGCCGUAAACGAUGAGUGCUAAGUGUUAGGGGGUUUCCCGCCCCCCUUAGUGCUGCAGCUAACGCAUUAAGCACUCCGCCUGGGGAGUACGGCCGCAAGGCUG
RNAcentral lists this ribosomal RNA (374 nucleotides) under uncultured organism. Its description in RNAcentral is "partial 16S ribosomal RNA". It matches the Rfam family "Bacterial small subunit ribosomal RNA", at positions 527 to 896 of the family's 1533-position model. The record is from RNAcentral.